CAGCAGCCGCGGUAAUACGGAGGGUGCAAGCGUUAAUCGGAAUUACUGGGCGUAAAGCGCACGCAGGCGGUCUGUCAAGUCAGAUGUGAAAUCCCCGGGCUUAACCUGGGAACUGCAUUUGAAACUGGCAGGCUAGAGUCUUGUAGAGGGGGGUAGAAUUCCAGGUGUAGCGGUGAAAUGCGUAGAGAUCUGGAGGAAUACCGGUGGCGAAGGCGGCCCCCUGGACAAAGACUGACGCUCAGGUGCGAAAGCGUGGGGAGCAAACAGGAUUAGAUACCCCAGUAGUCCCUGUCUAUUAUAC
This 301-nucleotide ribosomal RNA is filed under the name uncultured bacterium. RNAcentral describes it as "partial 16S ribosomal RNA". It matches the Rfam family "Bacterial small subunit ribosomal RNA", at positions 509 to 807 of the family's 1533-position model. The record is from RNAcentral.